This 253-nucleotide ribosomal RNA is filed under the name uncultured bacterium. RNAcentral's name for it is "partial 16S ribosomal RNA". It matches the Rfam family "Bacterial small subunit ribosomal RNA", at positions 524 to 776 of the family's 1533-position model. The record is from RNAcentral.
UACAGAGGUGGCAAGCGUUGUUCGGAAUUACUGGGCGUAAAGGGCGCGUAGGCGGUUCCGUAAGUCCCGCGUGAAAUCCCCCGGCUCAACUGGGGAACUGCGCGGGAAACUGUGGGGCUAGAGUUCAGGAGAGGGAAGCGGAAUUCCGGGUGUAGCGGUGAAAUGCGUAGAUAUCCGGAGGAACACCGGUGGCGAAGGCGGCUUCCUGGACUGACACUGACGCUGAGGCGCGAAAGCUAGGGGAGCAAACGGG